Molecule: ribosomal RNA, 2904 nt
Filed under: Enterobacter cloacae UCICRE 12
Lineage: Bacteria; Pseudomonadati; Pseudomonadota; Gammaproteobacteria; Enterobacterales; Enterobacteriaceae
Also listed under: 1 other name
Description: bacterial LSU rRNA
Rfam family: Bacterial large subunit ribosomal RNA
Source: RNAcentral
UUAAGCGACUAAGCGUACACGGUGGAUGCCCUGGCAGUCAGAGGCGAUGAAGGACGUGCUAAUCUGCGAAAAGCGCCGGCGAGGUGAUAUGAACCUUUGACCCGGCGAUGUCCGAAUGGGGAAACCCAGUGUGAUUCGUCACACUAUCGUUAACUGAAUACAUAGGUUAACGAGGCGAACCGGGGGAACUGAAACAUCUAAGUACCCCGAGGAAAAGAAAUCAACCGAGAUUCCCCCAGUAGCGGCGAGCGAACGGGGAGCAGCCCAGAGUCUGAAUCAGCUUGUGUGUUAGUGGAAGCGUCUGGAAAGUCGCACGGUACAGGGUGACAGUCCCGUACACGAAAGCACACAGGUUGUGAACUCGAAGAGUAGGGCGGGACACGUGGUAUCCUGUCUGAAUAUGGGGGGACCAUCCUCCAAGGCUAAAUACUCCUGACUGACCGAUAGUGAACCAGUACCGUGAGGGAAAGGCGAAAAGAACCCCGGCGAGGGGAGUGAAAUAGAACCUGAAACCGUGUACGUACAAGCAGUGGGAGCACCUUCGUGGUGUGACUGCGUACCUUUUGUAUAAUGGGUCAGCGACUUAUAUUCUGUAGCAAGGUUAACCGUAUAGGGGAGCCGAAGGGAAACCGAGUCUUAACUGGGCGUUAAGUUGCAGGGUAUAGACCCGAAACCCGGUGAUCUAGCCAUGGGCAGGUUGAAGGUUGGGUAACACUAACUGGAGGACCGAACCGACUAAUGUUGAAAAAUUAGCGGAUGACUUGUGGCUGGGGGUGAAAGGCCAAUCAAACCGGGAGAUAGCUGGUUCUCCCCGAAAGCUAUUUAGGUAGCGCCUCGUGAACUCAUCUUCGGGGGUAGAGCACUGUUUCGGCUAGGGGGCCAUCCCGGCUUACCAACCCGAUGCAAACUACGAAUACCGAAGAAUGUUAUCACGGGAGACACACGGCGGGUGCUAACGUCCGUCGUGAAGAGGGAAACAACCCAGACCGCCAGCUAAGGUCCCAAAGUCAUGGUUAAGUGGGAAACGAUGUGGGAAGGCACAGACAGCCAGGAUGUUGGCUUAGAAGCAGCCAUCAUUUAAAGAAAGCGUAAUAGCUCACUGGUCGAGUCGGCCUGCGCGGAAGAUGUAACGGGGCUAAACCAUGCACCGAAGCUGCGGCAGCGACGCUUAUGCGUUGUUGGGUAGGGGAGCGUUCUGUAAGCCGUUGAAGGUGUGCUGUGAGGCAUGCUGGAGGUAUCAGAAGUGCGAAUGCUGACAUAAGUAACGAUAAAGCGGGUGAAAAGCCCGCUCGCCGGAAGACCAAGGGUUCCUGUCCAACGUUAAUCGGGGCAGGGUGAGUCGACCCCUAAGGCGAGGCCGAAAGGCGUAGUCGAUGGGAAACAGGUUAAUAUUCCUGUACUUGGUGUUACUGCGAAGGGGGGACGGAGAAGGCUAUGUUAGCCGGGCGACGGUUGUCCCGGUUUAAGCAUGUAGGCGGAGGUUCCAGGUAAAUCCGGUACCUUAUUAACGCUGAGGUGUGAUGACGAGGCACUACGGUGCUGAAGUAACAAAUGCCCUGCUUCCAGGAAAAGCCUCUAAGCAUCAGGUAACAUCAAAUCGUACCCCAAACCGACACAGGUGGUCAGGUAGAGAAUACCAAGGCGCUUGAGAGAACUCGGGUGAAGGAACUAGGCAAAAUGGUGCCGUAACUUCGGGAGAAGGCACGCUGAUAUGUAGGUGAAGCCCCUGCGGGUGGAGCUGAAAUCAGUCGAAGAUACCAGCUGGCUGCAACUGUUUAUUAAAAACACAGCACUGUGCAAACACGAAAGUGGACGUAUACGGUGUGACGCCUGCCCGGUGCCGGAAGGUUAAUUGAUGGGGUUAGCGGCAACGCGAAGCUCUUGAUCGAAGCCCCGGUAAACGGCGGCCGUAACUAUAACGGUCCUAAGGUAGCGAAAUUCCUUGUCGGGUAAGUUCCGACCUGCACGAAUGGCGUAAUGAUGGCCAGGCUGUCUCCACCCGAGACUCAGUGAAAUUGAACUCGCUGUGAAGAUGCAGUGUACCCGCGGCAAGACGGAAAGACCCCGUGAACCUUUACUAUAGCUUGACACUGAACACUGGUCCUUGAUGUGUAGGAUAGGUGGGAGGCUUUGAAGCGUGGACGCCAGUCUGCGUGGAGCCGUCCUUGAAAUACCACCCUUUAAUGGCUGGUGUUCUAACGUAGACCCGUAAUCCGGGUUGCGGACAGUGUCUGGUGGGUAGUUUGACUGGGGCGGUCUCCUCCCAAAGAGUAACGGAGGAGCACGAAGGUUAGCUAAUCCUGGUCGGACAUCAGGAGGUUAGUGCAAUGGCAUAAGCUAGCUUGACUGCGAGAGUGACGGCUCGAGCAGGUGCGAAAGCAGGUCAUAGUGAUCCGGUGGUUCUGAAUGGAAGGGCCAUCGCUCAACGGAUAAAAGGUACUCCGGGGAUAACAGGCUGAUACCGCCCAAGAGUUCAUAUCGACGGCGGUGUUUGGCACCUCGAUGUCGGCUCAUCACAUCCUGGGGCUGAAGUAGGUCCCAAGGGUAUGGCUGUUCGCCAUUUAAAGUGGUACGCGAGCUGGGUUUAGAACGUCGUGAGACAGUUCGGUCCCUAUCUGCCGUGGGCGCUGGAGAAUUGAGGGGGGCUGCUCCUAGUACGAGAGGACCGGAGUGGACGCAUCACUGGUGUUCGGGUUGUCAUGCCAAUGGCACUGCCCGGUAGCUAAAUGCGGAAAAGAUAAGUGCUGAAAGCAUCUAAGCACGAAACUUGCCCCGAGAUGAGUUCUCCCUGAGACUUUAAGUCUCCUGAAGGAACGUUGAAGACGACGACGUUGAUAGGUCGGGUGUGUAAGCGCAGCGAUGCGUUGAGCUAACCGAUACUAAUGAACCGUGAGGCUUAACCUU